CAGUUCGGUCCCUAUCUGUCGUGGGCGUUGGAGAUUUGAGGGGGGCUGCUCCUAGUACGAGAGGACCGGAGUGGACGUUCCGCUGGUGUUCGGGUUGUCAUGCCCAUGGCAUUGCCCGGUAGCUAUGAACGGAAGCGAUAACCGCUGAAAGCAUCUAAGCGGGAAGCGCGCCCCAAGAUGAGAUCUCCCGAGAGCUCGACUCUCCUUAAGGCACCAUCUAGACCAGGUGGUUGAUAGGCGCGAUGUGGAAGUGCAGCAAUGCAUUGAGCUUACGCGUACUAAUGAGCCGUGAGGCUUGACCAUAUAACCCCAAG
This 314-nucleotide ribosomal RNA is filed under the name Rhodanobacter sp. SCN 69-32. RNAcentral's name for it is "bacterial LSU rRNA". It matches the Rfam family "Bacterial large subunit ribosomal RNA", at positions 2627 to 2925 of the family's 2925-position model. Lineage: Bacteria; Pseudomonadati; Pseudomonadota; Gammaproteobacteria; Lysobacterales; Rhodanobacteraceae. The record is from RNAcentral.